Molecule: transfer RNA, 59 nt
Filed under: Gastrodia angusta
Lineage: Eukaryota; Viridiplantae; Streptophyta; Magnoliopsida; Asparagales; Orchidaceae
Description: tRNA-Trp
Source: RNAcentral
GUGCUCUUAUUGGUAGAAUGUAGGUUUGAUAUGUGUAGGUUCAAAUCCUACAGAGUACA